AUGGGAUGGAGUCCAGGAAGUUGCCCGCUCUUUACCCCCUUCUCCGAGGGGGCGGCUUUGCAUUUUUACCAUCUUCCAGGUAUGUGCGGGAGAAGACCAAGACUGGGGUGGACAUGCGUGUGGGGGUGCACACGGGCACCGUGCUGGGGGGCGUCCUGGGCCAGAAGCGCUGGCAGUACGACGUGUGGUCGACUGAUGUCACUGUAGCCAACAAGAUGGAGGCCGGCGGCAUCCCUGGGCGCGUGCACAUCUCCCAGAGCACCAUGGACUGCCUGAAAGGGGAGUUUGAUGUGGAGCCAGGCGAUGGGGGCAGCCGCUGUGAUUACCUAGAAGAGAAGGGUAUUGAAACCUACCUCAUCAUUGCCUCCAAGCCAGAGGUGAAGAAAAUAGCCACCCAGAAUGGCCUCAAUGGCUCGGCCCUGCCCAAUGGAGCGCCAGUUUCCUCAAAGUCCAGCUCCCCUGCCCUCAUUGAGACCAAGGAGCCCAAUGGGAGUGCCCACAGCAGCGGGUCCAUGUCAGAGAAGCCCGAGGAGCAGGAUGCCCAGGCCGACAACCC
RNAcentral lists this small RNA (556 nucleotides) under Pongo abelii (Sumatran orangutan). Its description in RNAcentral is "processed transcript". The record is from RNAcentral. Lineage: Eukaryota; Metazoa; Chordata; Mammalia; Primates; Hominidae.